This 6870-nucleotide long non-coding RNA is filed under the name Gossypium raimondii (Peruvian cotton). RNAcentral's name for it is "long non-coding RNA (GRAI_LNC008783)". The stretch from base 4397 to 4498 matches the Rfam family "Small nucleolar RNA snoR109". Lineage: Eukaryota; Viridiplantae; Streptophyta; Magnoliopsida; Malvales; Malvaceae. The record is from RNAcentral.
AAAUGGGUCCACGUUUCCCCUUCUAACACCGGCAACAGCUCCAACAAUAACAACAAUAAUCACUCUCAUAAUAAUCAGCAGACCACAAUCAACGGUACUUCUAACGGUAAUAACGUUUCCCAUCUCCUCCUUUUUAAAUGGACACCUUUAUCCCAAACCCAAACCAACAACAACGAUAAUGACAAUUCCUCUAAGGACGACGCCGUGGCGGCGCCCGAAGAGCCGCCAAGACGGAAGUUUAAAUACAUUCCGGUAAAUUAUCUUCCUUGGGUUUUCAUCAAUUUCGAAUUUUGGGUCGUCUUUUUUAAGUUAUUUUUUCCUUAUCUGUAUAUGCUUAUUUUGCUUUGUUUCUUGGUGGGAUUUUUUUGGCUGCGAAUUGGGAUUUGAUUUUGCGUGCAUUUUAUGUAAUUGCUUGAUUUGUUAUGGGUUUUGGUUGGAUAUGUUACGAGCUUCUUCAAUGGAACUAUGAGUUAGCUUGUUGUUAAUUGCUUUUAAGGAAAUGUCAAUGAUGAAUAGAGAGAAAGCCCAAGUUGGGAAUUUUUUUUCGCAUUGAUCAAUGACUGAAAUUUUAUUAGAUGAAUGUUUCUAGAACAAUAGCUUGCUUAUCAACAAAUUUUGAAUUGCAUAUGUGUGAGGGUACAAAAUUGAGCUGCUUGCCAUCCUCAUACUCAUAGAUCAAAUCCGGGUUCGGGAGAGCUUUUGAAACCAAUGAUAUAAUGAUAGUGAAACUGUUGGAUCGGAGAUUGAAAGGGAAGAGGACCGAGAUUAGGACCUCGUUUCUUUUCUCUGACUAAUCGAACUCUAACUAUACCCUAUGCAGUUGCUUUAAGUUGAACACGGUUGUCGUAAUACUUGGUAAAAGUACCAUGAAGGCCAUUGUACUAGGAGUCGGAUUGCAUUUUGCCCCUUUUACUAAAAAAUUAGGCAAACUAGUCCUUGUACAUUAGAUAAAAAAUCAAACUAGUCAUUCUAUUAAAAGUUUGACCAUUUCUAUUGUUAAAAACUAAUCACUGUAUGUGCAACUGUCUGGUUAAUUCCAUCAGUCACUGUCUAGACUAGUUUGCCCCAUUUUUUAGUGAAGGGGGCAAAAUGUAAUCUGACUCCUAGUACAAGGCCUCCAUGAUAUUUUUACCGUAAUGCUUGGACCUAUCUGAUCUAAUCUAGUAUGUGAAAUCAUAGUAGCAUGAUGUAUGGCUAUAAUCAUAUUGCUUGCAUUGGCAUGAAACAUAAUGUUUCUACUUUUGAUCAUAUCAAACACUGAUAGUGGGUGCUUUUGUCUGGUAAUUGUAAUUCCCUUUUUAAGUUUUUGAUUGGAUAAUCUGAAUAUGCUAACAUUCACAGGUUUGUGAAGCUGCUUAGUUGUAACAAUUGUUGGUAGAAAUGAGUCCUAAGAUCAGUUCAAAUUGUUCGAUCAUCUUAUUAUUUUGAUUGCUUGAACAUGCAGAUUGCUGUGCUAGAGGAACAGAGAAAGGAAGCUGAUGAAAACACCGAUGAUGAAUCUAAACUGAGCGAAGCUGACCCUAGUGCUGUAGAGCCAACUUCCAAGAAUGAUGGUCUUGAUGAAAAACCCGACAUUAAUGACAUACCUGUCGAAACCAUUUUUUUUAAAACAAAAAUAAGUUAUCGACUUUAAAAACAAAAAUUGGAGUCGCCACCGAUCCUUUAUUAAGGUGUGAUCGGCUCACAAAAAAAAACAAUUCUGGUCUGCAAAAUUUGAGAAAACAGGUUCGUGAGUCAGUUACGCACGAGGAAGGGUUAGCACCCUCGUAACGCCCAAAAAUCGGUACCAAAUUUGAUUAUUUUAUGUCUUGAUGUCGAAAAUUUGAAAAGAUUUUAAAUAGAAAUUUUUAACCCGUGAAUAGAUUUAGAAUGAUAAAACAUUCUCAUUUCAAAAAAAUAAAACACCACACCCAGUAAAUUAGGGCACAAUAUUUUAAAUCUUCGAAAUACCGAAUAUUGCUUUUUGUUUUAGAAAUUCUUAUUUCGAGAUAACGAAAUGUCACGACCAGUAAGUUAGGACCCGACAUUAUGAAUUCCCGAGAAUAAGGUUUUAUUUGAAAAUUGCAAAUUCAUUGUAAAAUAAAUACUUAGCUCGUUAAAUUCAUCGAAAAAAUGAUCACGAUCCAGUAAGUUAGGACACGAUCUUUCUCGAGAACCAUGAUUGCUAAAUAUCUAAAAAUUUAAAAAAAGAUUUUAAUGCUUUCACAAAGCAAAAAUAGAUUUUUCUUUAAAAGUACGAUAAAAUGCUAAUGCGUAACAUGAAAUCAUUACUCUAAUUUAAAAUAUACCUAUAUAUGUAUACAAAAGUUAUGAAAAUAAAAUAUAAAAUUUGUACAUGUAUUUAUAAAAGUAAAAGUAUAUAUAUAAAAAAAUGUUAAUAAAUUUUGAAAGCAUGUAUAUGUACGUAUAUAUAAAACGAAUGUGAAAAAUGUAUUUAUAACAGUUUUGAAUAACAUAUAUAUAGACUAUAAAAAAAUAUAUAAAUGUAUGAAUUAUAAAAUAUAGGAAAUGUAUGAAUAUUAUAAAACAUAAACGUAUAUAUAUAUAUAAAACUAUGAAAAUAAAAUAGUAGUAAAAUAUGAAAGAUAUGUAUAUGUAUUUAAAUCCAUUUAAAAUAUAUAUACAUAUAUAUAUAUAUAUAAAAUGUAUAAGCGUAUAAAAAUUAUAACAUACGAAAACAUUUAAAUAUUAUAAAAUAUAAUGUAUAUAUGUAUAUACAUAUGUAAAAACAAAAACAUUUGAAUAAAUACAUAUAUAUUAGCAUACAUAUGCGUAUAUAUAUAGAUAUAAUAAUAAUAAUAAUAUAAUAUAAUAAUGACAAAAGGGUCAAUUUAAAACUUAAAACAGUGAUUUGGGGCAAAUCCGCAAUUACAAUAAACAAAAUUGGAGCAAAUUAAAGUACGCGCAAUGAGAGGAGGACCGGAAGGGAAAUUUUUCCAAACCUCCCACACACUGCGUUUAAAUGGGAUUAAAAUAAAACAAUUUCAGUAUUUCAUAGAAAAAUUUAAAAACCAAAAACCAUAAUUUUGAAAUGAUGGAAAAAUGAAAAUGAUUAAAAAGGUAAAUAGCCCAUUAAUAAAACCCCAUUCCAACUUCAGCAACAGCAGCCGCAAGAGCUGCUUCUUUCUCUUCUGCUUCUCACCGAAAUCCUCCCCUUUUCAACUCCGAUUCGGACGCAACGCAGCAAGGGCGUCAAUGGCACGCCACCACUGGUAAGAACCUUCUUUCCUUCUUCUCUUUAUUUAUUUUUGUUUUCGGAUAACAAAAGAAAAACAAAAUAAAGUAAAAAACAGUAAAAUGAACAAAGAAAAAAUAAAAAUCUGUCACCUUCAAAAUCCUUGCCUUUUUUCCUUGUAUUUUCUUUUUCAGUUUUUUUAGUACAAAAUUUGGCAACCCCCUUUUUUACAUAUUCGAUUUGACUUUAAAUAGCCAAAAUAACGAAAAGAAAAACCCCCGAAAACCUCUUUUCCACCCUUUACAGUUCGUGGUUGUUGCAGGUACGAGCGUGUGCACACAAGCUAUUGAACGUGGGCGAAGCCACUGCAACGUGGGGGAAAUGGAACGAUUGCUGCGGCGUUGAAGAAACUGCUACUAGGGUUCAGUUUUUUUUUUUCUGCUGAAACUGUUCCAUAGCUUGGGCUGUAAUUUGGACUAACAGAUGGGCUUGUAACUUGAGUCCGGGCCUUUUUUCUGCUGAAACUGUUCCAUAGCUUGGGCUGUAAUUUGGACUAACAGAUGGGCUUGUAACUUGAGUUUGGGCCUUAGGCUUAGUUGGGCCCGGGCAAUAAUUGGGUAUUACAAUACCUAUGGAUGAAAGUCAGGUGAGCAGCAAAAUGUUUUUCUAUAUACUUUCAUUUGAAAAGGGGCAUGGGGCUGAACAGGACUGAAAAUUUUCACUUUCAAGUCGAAUGAGCUUAAUUCCAAUUUCCUGUCUCAGGAGGAUAAUAAAAUAGUGCGACAAGAUCUGAACGAAAGCACAUUGGAUUUGAGCUUCGGUUAAACGGUUCGUGACUGUGAGUCUGAUUCGAAAACAAAUCGCAACGGACAGUUGGAAAGAGUAAAAUUGAGUAGUGGUCGAACAUGAUUGAGUAUAGCUUUGCAGGCUGUUUCAGCAAAUAGAUGCAGAUGGUAAGUAGACAUUAUUAUUAGUCUCCUCAUUUAUGGCAUAUUCCAUCAUCUAGGGUUUUAUAAACGGCGGGAUCGGCCACUCUCUUUCCCUCUUUUGUCAUCGGUUUAAUCCUUCCGAUAUUUGCGUGUAUUACAUUCGCAUGUGAAAAAUCAAGUGCUUAAUUACUAUUUUCUUCGUUUAACCGGUGAUAGAUUGAAUUUAAUGCUACAUGUACCAAGAUAAGGGGGUUGAUUCAAAUCAGUAUCCUUAAUCUUGAUUUUGCCAUAGCGGCUGUAGCUAUAAUAGAGAAGUUAACUGGCCGGUUAUCGUGCUUAAUUUGAAAAUUUCAAGCUUCCGUCGGUUAAUCUGCUUACCGAGCUUCGUACAUUUCAUUUCAUGUUAUUGGUUUUUUUUUUUUGGUAAAUUUUGAGAAGGGGGGAGAAGAAGGGAAUAGCAUAGGAUUUAGCUAUUUCAAGAGACCCUUCUCUAACAUCAAAAAUUAGGUCACCUUCCAGGCUUUCUGCUUUGCUUCUCUGCAGUUUGCGUCUAUCGGUGCCUACAUUCAUUCCAUUUCUAAGAACAAAAAAUUGUAUUUUACUUUCGAUUUUAGUAUUUGCAAGUCUUCAAUCCAUUUCCAGUCCCAGCUAUCUGUUCGUUUAAUUGGGCCUUUUCAAUUUCAUUUGAAUUUAAAAAUAAAUUAAAUCGUUAUAAUUUGAUUCGAAAAUUUCGAAUCUUAAUUCAAAAUGGCUUGAAAGUUUAGAUUCACUUGAAUCAAAGCCUUUAAAUUUUAAAAGCAAAAUUGAUUGAAAAUCAUCUAACUCAAAAAUCAAUCUAAACCGUUUAAUCAAAGUUUACAUAAAUUAAACAGUAACGAGUGGAUUUAAAUGGGCAAAAUAUAAAAAAAAAAGUCAGUUUUUUUCUUAAAUUUAUCGAAAUGAGCCUUCGCGUCCACAUCAGCAAAUCGUGUCCACAUCAGUGCGCUUUCCUGACGUGGACACAUAUCGCGUCCACGUAAAAUGGAUUUGUUUCCAAUUUGAUACCUGAAUCUUUUUUAUCCUAAUUUCAGUACUUAAAUUUGUCCUCAAUGUUCAAUUCAAUACAUGAGCUUUUUGCCUGAUGAAUAUGUGAUAUGUGUGCUCUAGUAAAAAACAUAAGACUUUAAUUGAGAUAAAAAAAAACUCAAGUUAAUAUUAAAUUGAAUAUUAGAGUCAUACUCAUGUACCAAAUUGGAGAAAAAACCCACGUACCAAAUUGAAUAUUAAUACCAAUCUCAGAUACCAAACACUAAACUGAUUUUUUUUUUUAUUUUUUUUUUGUAAAAUUGACCUAGAUUGUCAUUAAAAUAGAUUAAAAUUUUAGAUUCGAGUCUCAUCAAAUAUUAUAAAUCAUGUGUGAAUUUUUUUCAGUACAUUUUUAGUGUUUCUUACAAGGUUUUAGUGAAAAUUUAAGUUCAAUUAGUGAUUGAGUAAAAAAUUAUGAAGUAUUCGUGUUAAUAAUCAACUCUUUUGAAAGAAAUAUUUGAAAUGUUGUGCCAUCGAAAUUGACGAACCCUUUAGCAAAUCAAUAUUGUUCCUCUUUUAAAGUUUUUUCUCUUGGCUCAAACAAAAAUCCAAGUUCCUAAGGUUGCUUGAAAAGGUAAUAGAUUCAACAAAGUGGAAUCAUCUCUUAUNNNNNNNNNNNNNNNNNNNNNNNNNNNNNNNNNNNNNNNNNNNNNNNNNNNNNNNNNNNNNNNNNNNNNNNNNNNNNNNNNNNNNNNNNNNNNNNNNNNNAUAUUUGCACUUAGUAUGCACUUGUAGGCAACCAUUCUACCACUUGGUCCUUGGUAAGUAGUUUUACACCAUGCACAAUUUGGCCAAAUGAGGUGUUCCCACAUUGUUAAAUCGAUUGCCUCUUCCGACAACUUCAAGUACUAUGACUCUAUACAGAAUCGGGAGACAAAAUCUAGAUCGAAUACAAUACCAUCUCGUUAAAGCAUCAAUUGAUUCCUAAUGAAUAACAUUUAUAAAAAAUUCUCCACUCAACAAAUUUAUUUAAUAUAAUAUUAAAUUUGGCAUAAACCUAAACCUUAAGCAUUUUUACUCAAAAUAAAAUUUAUUAUUAAUUAAAAUGGCUCGUGACUGAUCAAAUAUUAAUAAAAAAAUUCAAUCCACAGGCAACAUUUGUAGUUUUUAUCAAUUUAUUAUGUAUAAGAAAAAUGAAUUAAACAAUUGAAAUGGAUCAUUAGUAAAAUUACCAAACAAAAGAGCCAAUGGCCCAUCUAAUUUGAAACUCGGAGCUACCAGAACCGAAUCCGACCCGAACUUUAUAAGCAUAAAAUCACAAAAGAAAUUAAUCCACUUGUCUCCUCGGCGAAGGAAAAAAACAACAGAAAAAAAAGAAAAAGAAAAAAAGAGAGAGAGAUCUAAAGGGAGAGAGAGAAACAUAGAGCGAGUCACAGCGAAAUCGUCACCGAUCCAACGCGAACGAGUUAAAUGGAAGGAGUGGGGGCUCGACUCGGGCGGUCCUCCACUCGGUACGGACCAGCCACUGUGUUCACUGGACCGGUCAGGAAAUGGAAGAAGAAAUGGGUCCACGUUUCCCCUUCUAACACCGGCAACAGCUCCAACAAUAACAACAAUAAUCACUCUCAUAAUAAUCAUCAGACCACAAUCAACGGUACUUCUAACGGUAAUAACGGUUCCCAUCUCCUCCUUUUUAAAUGGACACCUUUAUCCCAAACCCAAACCAACAACAACGAUAAUGACAAUUCCUCUAAGGACGAC